Hemibagrus wyckioides is the source of this 2194-nucleotide long non-coding RNA. RefSeq lists it as uncharacterized. The record is from RefSeq and is a predicted model, not a curated record. Lineage: Eukaryota; Metazoa; Chordata; Actinopteri; Siluriformes; Bagridae. The transcript has 4 exons.
AUCUUGUACAUUAAUAUUAUCCAGUAUAAACCUCUUUAAUUGACCAUGACAGGUUUAUUUUCCAGUACAAAUAAGGUGCUAAACAUAAAUAUAGUUUAAACAUAGAAGCGUUCAUGGAGGGUGCUUGGAUGUCCCUCAAAAAUGAGCAACACAAAAUCUUAUCAGGGAGGCUGCAAAGAGACCUAGAGUAUGUCUCCAGUAUUAAAGGAGCUACAGCAAAGUCAUGGUCAUGUGACAACACUCUCUUAUACUUCAUUAUGGUGUGAAGAGACCAAGGUGGAACUAUUUGAAGUCAUUCUAAAAAUAGAUUUUGCACAAACCCAAGACAGUUUAUCCCGCUAAGAACACCAUACACAUGGUGAAGCAUGGUGGUGGCAGCUGGGCCUGGGGCUCUAGUCACGAUAGAAGGAACCAGGAAUAGCUCCAAAUUCCAGCCUUUUUAAGGAACAGCUUCAAAUACCAAACUUGCAGGCCUCUGAAGCUGAAGAUUUCAACUUCCAGUACGCCAAUGACCCAGAGCAAAAAUCCAAGUCAGAGGACAGAUGAGGUGAAGAGGCUUCAAGACAGGGAGAAGCAGCUCAGUGUUGCAGGAUGGGUCAGUAAAAAAACUACUGGAGCUGUAAUGAAGUUGCCAGGAACUUCUGCAAAGACUGCAAAGAUGAGGAUGAAGUGUGGGCUCCAGAAGUACCAGGAGACAUAAGACAUAAAAUUAAAUUCUGAGAUGCUACAAGUGUCAUGGUCAUCUUCUAGCUGGACAAAGAUCUAAAACAAACAUUCCACUCAAUCCACACGAAAAUGCUUCAAUCACAAUACAGUCAAUCUUUUGACAUGGCCAUCUCAGUCCCCUGACCGAAACCAGCUUAAAAACCUAUGAGGUGAAAUGGAGAGGAGAAUCCACAAGCUAGGACUCGGGAGGAUUAGAAGAGAUUCUGUACUCAGGAGCACUCUCGGGGUCUUUGCUCUGAAAUCUCAUCAAACAUUGGGCCAUGAGAAAACAAUCUACAGGGCCUACAGGGGCACAGACAAGGAUGAAGGAACUGAGUCUCCAAAAGGAAUCUUAGAUUAGGAGAGAUAGACUGGGAGUGAGUCUGACCACUGAUCUCAGACUUUGUGUGCUUUAGGACUGAGAUAGAGACAGAAAGCGGAUCUAUUCUGUGAUGGGAGUAGAGCCAAAACACAUUACAUAAUAUAGUAUAAGAUUACAAUAAACAAAAUACAUGAAAUCAUGAAACCUAUUUCUAAACAUUUCGUAGUCAUUUAAAAGAUUCAAGUAAAAUUAUUUUACUGGCAGGUUUUUAAGCACUUACUUCUAGAAAGAAGCAAAAAUAAUCUGUUAACAGAAUAAAAAAAAUGUAAAACCUGUGUGUAAGCAUCUAAAAACUGAAUCAUCUUCUAAUAAUUAUUUAUGAUAACACAGAAUGGUGUGGACAAACAAACAAACAAACAAUCAGACAUCCGCUGAACUGUAGUUUUGCAGGCAGGAAAGCUUUGUUGGUGAGAGAGGUCAGAGUGGUUCGAGCUGACAGGAAGUCUAUAGCAAAUCAAAUAACCAGACUUUAUAAACAUAGAGAGCAGAAAUUCUGUUACACAUCCUCCUUCUCUCUCUCUCUCUCUCUCUCUCUCUCUCUCUUUCUCUCUCUCUUUCUCUCUCUCUCUCUCUCUCUUUCUCAAUCUUCAGAUUGUUCUGUACACUUUACACUACAUACCUAAUUGAUAUAUAUAUACCCAAUAUAACUAAUGACUUUUAUAUUUGAUUUCAAGUAUGCUCAAAACAUUUUAUCCUGUGCCAAGCAAAAGUGGCCAACUAUUUCAGAAAAAAAUAAAAUAAUAAUAAUAAAAUUAAAAUUGAGAAAACCCCGUGUCAAGACGUUACUGCACUAAUGCAGUCUUUGUUAAAUCACAAGUGCUGAUUGACUUCUGCUUUUGUAAUUCUGUCAGUGACCUUGCAACAUUUGAGUAGCAAGUGGUGUAAGAAUGAAGCUUUGUGCACUGUCAAUGAAGAAAAAUUAAUUUUUACACACUUUUAAGUGCUUUUGUAAUUAAAAAAAAAAAACAUUUUAGAGUUAAUAUGUACAGAAAAAUGCUAUUUAUCUUUUAUUUUGUGUUUAUUGACUCAAUUGUAUGUCAAUAUUUUUUUAUUAUGUAAUAAAGGUCUCUCUCUCUCUCUCUCAUAAAUAAAUAUUGCUCAGAAAAU